UGGGACACAUAGGUAUUAUAUAACAAACUUAAUGACUAUACUUGUUGGGCAGUUGACCUAAGUUGACGGAUGGAGAAGACCCGUUGUAAGAGUCUGAUCGCCAAGUUGUGGUGGCAGUGAGUUAGAUACGCAUACAGAUAAGCAUUCGUUUGUACAUCACAUGCGUGCCAUUAGAAAAAGAAUUAGAAGAAUCUUUGUGGGAUUUUCCCAUUUAUAUAAAGUAUGUUUUCACCGGAUAACAUUCUCUUUUUUUCCACAGCCUCUCUCUUCUAAA
Arabidopsis thaliana (thale cress) is the source of this 274-nucleotide long non-coding RNA. RefSeq annotates it as other RNA. NCBI's taxonomy places the organism in Eukaryota, Viridiplantae, Streptophyta, Magnoliopsida, Brassicales, Brassicaceae. The record is from RefSeq. The transcript has 2 exons.